CCACCCCCCAAAUGAAACUGCGUCUACCCUAACCCCCAAAUCCACAAUCCAUACCCUAACCUUCAGGCUUCAAUACUCAUCGCUCCCUCUUCUCCAAAUCUCCACACCUGCUGGCUGCCGACCUGCGCCCAGCCAGCCAGCUACCGCUCCCUCUUCAGUACUCAUCGCACCCAGCCACCCACCACCGCGAAGCCUUUGGCCCGUCGCACAUACACCCAAACGAAGCCACGCCGUCGCACAUCAGGUCAAGACGAAGCCACCACCGACCGACUCGACACGGCAGCACAGCACCACGCCGCCACCGUUGAGACGCCACCACCCUAACCCAUCAGUUCAACCCAGCACGGCAGCACCUCCCAGUCUUCCACUCAGCCUUCCUCCCAAGUCAAUAUGGAGCCAGAGCCACUGAUUCAGUGUUGAACUUCUUACACUAUGUGAAAAAUAACAAAAUAGUUGAGGAGAAAAAGAUGAACUAUGUGCAAUUGGCCGAGUAGACAGUAGACUGAUUCAAGUCAGAUAUGGAGCUGGAGCUACCAAGUCAGGUAUGUAAUUUGAGUAAUUUCUGUUUUGAAUUACUGAAAGUGCUUCUGUUUGUAUUGUUAGUAGCUUGGUAUUGUUGGAAAAAUAAUAUAAACUGCUUUUGGUUAUUAUUAGUUUUUUUGGAAGAAUAAUAUAAAAUAAAAAGAAACUUUUGAAGUGAUUUAGUAUGAAAUCAGAUUUGAAAUCAGAUAAACUGGUUUUGAAUCUUGAUAGGAAGAUAUUGAAAUUAGAUUUGAAGCAGAUUUGAAGAAUUAAAUUUGGAGCAGAUUUGAAAUCAGUGUAUUGUUGCUGAUUGUUGGUUGAAUUAAUUUUGAUAAAUUACUUUAUUGUUGGUAUUAUUGCUGGUUGCUGGUUUUGUUGCUGGUUUUGUUGCUUAUUGUUGCUGCCUUGCUGGUUUUUAAUUUAUUUGUUGUUGUGUUUUUGCUGGUUUUUAAUUUAUUUGUUGUUGUUGACAAGUAUGGAGCUUUCAGGAUCUUUAUCUCCUUUUGUUACCAAUAUGACAUCUCUGACUAAUAUCCGGCUUGGGAAUAACAGUUUGUCCGGGCACAUUCCUGACCUAGGUUCACUAACACUAUUAGAAAUAUUGCACUUGGAAGACAAUCAAUUCGACGGAGAGAUUCCUUCAUCCCUAGGGAACAUAAGCACUUUGCAUAAAGUGUAAACUCUGUCCUCUCUAUACAAGAGAAUUAAACUGGUUUUUUGUGCUGUUUCUUGAAUCCUGAGUAGAUAUUUAAGUCAGCCCUGUACAACUACAUUGUUUACAUGAGUGUGGCCCAAAAAUAGUACAAUUUAUUUGAAUUCCUUUUGUCGAUAAAUUUAAUUGGAUCAAGACUUUGUUACCUAAUGUGUAUUUGUGUUUGUCGAUUUCAAUUUUAU
Molecule: non-coding RNA, 1416 nt
Organism: Arachis ipaensis
Lineage: Eukaryota; Viridiplantae; Streptophyta; Magnoliopsida; Fabales; Fabaceae
Source: RefSeq, a predicted model, not a curated record